UGGGGAAUAUUGCACAAUGGGCGCAAGCCUGAUGCAGCCAUGCCGCGUGUAUGAAGAAGGCCUUCGGGUUGUAAAGUACUUUCAGUCGGGAGGAAGGUGUCAAGGUUAAUACCUUUGCUCAUUGACGUUACCCGCAGAAGAAGCACCGGCUAACUCCGUGCCAGCAGCCGCGGUAAUACGGAGGGUGCAAGCGUUAAUCGGAAUUACUGGGCGUAAAGCGCACGCAGGCGGUUUGUUAAGUCAGAUGUGAAAUCCCCGGGCUCAACCUGGGAACUGCAGCUGAUACUGGCAAGCUUGAGUCUCGUAGAGGGGGGUAGAAUUCCAGGUGUAGCGGUGAAAUGCGUAGAGAUCUGGAGGAAUACCGGUGGCGAAGGCGGCCCCCUGGACGAAGACUGACGCUCAGGUGCGAAAGCGUGGGGAGCAAACAGG
Molecule: ribosomal RNA, 429 nt
Filed under: Chloroflexota bacterium
Lineage: Bacteria; Bacillati; Chloroflexota
Description: Chloroflexi bacterium partial 16S ribosomal RNA
Rfam family: Bacterial small subunit ribosomal RNA
Source: RNAcentral